RNAcentral lists this ribosomal RNA (472 nucleotides) under uncultured bacterium. RNAcentral describes it as "partial 16S ribosomal RNA". It matches the Rfam family "Bacterial small subunit ribosomal RNA", at positions 28 to 507 of the family's 1533-position model. The record is from RNAcentral.
GACGAACGCUGGCGGCGUGCUUAACACAUGCAAGUCGAACGCUGAAGCUUGGUGCUUGCACUGGGUGGAUGAGUGGCGAACGGGUGAGUAAUACGUGAGUAACCUGCCCUUGACUCUGGGAUAAGCCUGGGAAACUGGGUCUAAAACUGGAUACGACAUGCCACUGCAUGGUGGUGUGUGGAAAGGGUUUUACUGGUUUUGGAUGGGCUCACGGCCUAUCAGCUUGUUGGUGGGGUAAUGGCCUACCAAGGCGACGACGGGUAGCCGGCCUGAGAGGGUGACCGGCCACACUGGGACUGAGACACGGCCCAGACUCCUACGGGAGGCAGCAGUGGGGAAUAUUGCACAAUGGGCGGAAGCCUGAUGCAGCGACGCCGCGUGAGGGAUGACGGCCUUCGGGUUGUAAACCUCUUUCAGCACGGAAGAAGCGAGAGUGACGGUACGUGCAGAAGAAGCGCCGGCUAACUACGUG